Molecule: ribosomal RNA, 490 nt
Filed under: Maratus cf. griseus JXZ-2013
Lineage: Eukaryota; Metazoa; Arthropoda; Arachnida; Araneae; Salticidae
Description: partial 16S ribosomal RNA
Rfam family: Bacterial large subunit ribosomal RNA (bases 105-398)
Source: RNAcentral
UUUGUCUUUUAAAUGAAGACUAGAACAAAAGAUUUAACAUUUCAACUUAUUUAUUUAACUUAACUUUUAAAAUUAUAUUAGAUGUAAAAAUACAUCUAUUUAACAGAAAGACGACAAGACCCUAUUGAACUUUACUUUAGUUAAACUGGGGCAGUCAAUUAAUUAUCAUUUUAAUAAAAAUUUUUCUUUAUAAAUCCAAUAAUAUUGAUAAUCCAGUUACCAUAGGGAUAACAGCGCAAUUAUAUUUUAAAGAUCUUAUUUAAAAAAUAGAUUACGACCUCGAUGUUGAAUUAAUUACCUAAUUAAGGCAAAUCUUAAAACAGGAAGUCUGUUCGACUUUUUAAUAAUUACAUGAUUUGAGUUCAGACCGGUGUAAGCCAGGUCGGUUUCUAUCUUCUUAAAACUUUCUUACAGUACGAAAGGACCCAAGAAACUAAUUUGAUUGUAAAAUUGGCAGAAUAAUGCAUUAGAAUUAGAAUCUAAUAAAACU